GUGAGGAAGAAUAAUUCCUUCCUGGUCAAGCAGUUCGGGAACAGCAAUGCCAAGGUUCAGUUCAGCAAGGAGCCCAACAACCUCUACAAUGUCCACUCCUACAAGUACUCUGGUUAGUGUUUAUUUCCCAGCUUGUUCAUUUGAAUUGCGGAUGCCAUCAGUGGCACUGUUUAAUUGCAGGAUUGGUUUCUUUACAGGCCUUGCCAACAAGAAGACCGUGACAGUGCAACCGGCCAGUGGCAAGGAGAUGGCGGUGGUCCUCUCCACAACCAAGACAAAGAAGCAGAACAAGCCUGCCAGCCUCUACCACAAGUCUGUCAUGCGCAAGGAAUUCCGCAAGAUGGCCAAGGCUGUCAAGAACCAGGUAUAGAACAAUUACAUGUGUCAUUGUUCUCCUAUGAUGUUUUGCUCCGGUGAGGGGUGUGUUUUUUUAAAAAAAAUAAUUGUGGGUGAGCAAUUAGAAAUUGUUGUGAUUAUCCUUAUCAUGUAACAAAUUCACAUGUCUGGGUCAUCAAUUAAAUACACUCGUUACGCAUUGUUGAAUAGAGUUUGCCAUAAUUGUCAUGGUCCUCUUGACCUGUUGUUUCAAGUUGGAGGACUGCACAUGCUUGUCAUACCAUGAAUCUUUUUUUGUCCUUGGUUCACAUUUGUAGCUGUUUCUAAACUAUUAGGUACUCGCCAACCUAUAAAACUGUAUUCUAGAUUAGUAAUAGUAUCAUGUGAGAAUCAUUUCUGAGAACCCUGCUUGCCCUUGUGGAUAUAACAAUUUAUAAACAG
RNAcentral lists this long non-coding RNA (777 nucleotides) under Setaria viridis. Its description in RNAcentral is "long non-coding RNA (SVIR_LNC006029)". The record is from RNAcentral. Lineage: Eukaryota; Viridiplantae; Streptophyta; Magnoliopsida; Poales; Poaceae.